RNAcentral lists this ribosomal RNA (409 nucleotides) under uncultured microorganism. RNAcentral's name for it is "bacterial SSU rRNA". It matches the Rfam family "Bacterial small subunit ribosomal RNA", at positions 509 to 917 of the family's 1533-position model. The record is from RNAcentral.
CAGCCGCCGCGGUAAUACGAAGGGGGCUAGCGUUGCUCGGAAUGACUGGGCGUAAAGGGCGCGUAGGCGGUUUGGACAGUCAGAUGUGAAAUUCCCGGGCUUAACCUGGGGGCUGCAUUUGAGACGUCCAGGCUUGAGUGUGAGAGAGGGUUGUGGAAUUCCCAGUGUAGAGGUGAAAUUCGUAGAUAUUGGGAAGAACACCGGUGGCGAAGGCGGCAACCUGGCUCAUGACUGACGCUGAGGCGCGAAAGCGUGGGGAGCAAACAGGAUUAGAUACCCUGGUAGUCCACGCUGUAAACGAUGUGUGCUGGAUGUUGGGUGACUUAGUCAUUCAGUGUCGUAGUUAACGCGAUAAGCACACCGCCUGGGGAGUACGGCCGCAAGGUUGAAACUUAAAGGAAUUGGCGGG